GAAUCUCGAAAGCCCGUCUCAGUUCGGAUUGAGGCUGAAACCCGCCUCCAUGAAGUUGGAUUCGCUAGUAAUCGCGCAUCAGCCAUGGCGCGGUGAAUACGUUCCCGGGCCUUGUACACACCGCCCGUCAAGCCAUGGGAGCCGGGGGUGCCUGAAGUUCGUGACCGCAAGGAGCGACCUAGGGCAAAACUGGUGACUGGGGCUAAGUCGUAACAAGGUACC
Molecule: ribosomal RNA, 222 nt
Filed under: uncultured bacterium
Lineage: Bacteria
Description: partial 16S ribosomal RNA
Rfam family: Bacterial small subunit ribosomal RNA
Source: RNAcentral